Molecule: RNase P RNA, 344 nt
Filed under: Sediminibacterium sp.
Lineage: Bacteria; Pseudomonadati; Bacteroidota; Chitinophagia; Chitinophagales; Chitinophagaceae
Description: RNase P RNA component class A
Rfam family: Bacterial RNase P class A
About the family: Ribonuclease P (RNase P) is a ubiquitous endoribonuclease, found in archaea, bacteria and eukarya as well as chloroplasts and mitochondria. Its best characterised activity is the generation of mature 5'-ends of tRNAs by cleaving the 5'-leader elements of precursor-tRNAs. Cellular RNase Ps are ribonucleoproteins.
Source: RNAcentral
CUACUAAAUCCGCUUUAUCGCUCAAAGAAAUUUGAGAGGAAAGUCCGGACAGCGCAGAGUAACCUACCGGCUAAUUACCGGCUUUUAAAGUUCUUUUAAAAAGAGAUAGUGCCACAGAAAAUAACAGCCUUCUGGCAAUGGUGAAAAUGUGUGGUAAAAGCACACGUCCGCAUUAGGUAACUAAUUCGGAGGGUAAACCUUAGGUGCUGCAAUGCCAAAUAUAGAAACGUUGACACCUACUCGGUGGAGUUUCGGGGUAGGCAGAAAAGAAUUUAACAGUAAUGUUAAAUCAAGACAAAUGAUAAAGUUGAAACAGAAUCCGGCUUAUGAGAUUUAGUAGUAUU